UCCCACACAAAAAAACAUCAUUUUUUAACUGCAACAAUUGAUAUUACUUUUGUGCCAUUCUUUUAACAACAAAAAACCAUAAGUGCAAUGCAAAACCAUUUCUCUUUCUUCAUUGUCAGUUUUCACUCCUAAUUCUCCAUAUUUUUCUUCUUCCCAUUAACAUCACAAAAUCCAAAGUAUGAGAAAGUGAUUCACAACAAAUGCUUUAGAAACUAAUCAAUGAACAAAAACAAAUUCUCCAUUCUUUUUGUUGUCUUGAUUUGAAGAUGGGUCUGCACAUUGUUGUUGUUGUUGAUGGCUCCCUAGGUGAAAGGUUUAUGAACCUAGAACACUGACAUAUGGCUGGGUGAUGAAGGAAUCAUGUUUGUGAAUCCUCAUUAUCAUGGAAUUGUUUCGAUUCCUGUAAUAUUCCACAAAAACAAAUAAACAAACAUCAAACACUAAACUUUCAUAGUUAUUAGUCAAACAAAAAGUAGCAAAACACAAAGUAAAAUUAGAAGGGUAUAAAAUCAAUUGAGAACAUGAUCAAUUCAUGUAUUUAUCAAAUAGAAGAAAAAAAAUCAUUCUUCAUCACUUUCAUGACUCGUGAGCCAACCGUGGAGUUAUACAAUUGAUGAAAGUGAAAGAGAGAAGGAC
This 636-nucleotide long non-coding RNA is filed under the name Medicago truncatula (barrel medic). RNAcentral describes it as "long non-coding RNA (MTRU_LNC007029)". Lineage: Eukaryota; Viridiplantae; Streptophyta; Magnoliopsida; Fabales; Fabaceae. The record is from RNAcentral.